This 499-nucleotide long non-coding RNA is filed under the name Setaria viridis. Its description in RNAcentral is "long non-coding RNA (SVIR_LNC000790)". The record is from RNAcentral. Lineage: Eukaryota; Viridiplantae; Streptophyta; Magnoliopsida; Poales; Poaceae.
ACGGUGGCUCAUCCAAAAAUGAAAAAAUUGCAGUAUGGGAUUGCAAAUAUUUUUUCCGUUCCCUGUUUUCUACCUUUGCAAAUUUCUUCUAGAAUUCCUUUAAGUCUUCUUCUUCCACUUCUCCAUAUAUUGGAGCUUUUGGAUUGAAACCCAGCAGUGUUGUGAUUGCUCCAUACAUAAUAAUCUUUACUUCAUCCUUUAUUCUAAAGGAUAGGCAUGGAAUUUCUUCAUUUGUCUUGUCAUUCCAUUGCAUGACUUUUUCAUGGUCAUGAAUAUCUCCACUGCCACAUCAUUGUAUACACUAACGGGGCCAUUAAGAGUGAAUUACAUCCACCCAAUAUUUCCCAGGAGCUUGUAAAUAUCAUUAUGAAAUCCAAUAUCCCGAAGAAAGUCGUCAUCGAAAUCAUGGUUGGCAACGAUACUCCCUUCAAUAUUCUUCAACCGCUCUUCCUCCUUGCUUUUUAUCAUGAAGUCGUAUGCCGACUUCUUUUCGGUGAAG